UUGCUGAUCAAGACAAAGAAAGGCUAGAUUCAGUUGUGUGGUAGUCAGACAUAAAAGAUGAGUAUCUGGCUGAUGAUGAUCUGGGUAUCUCUCACUGUGGGAACAGCGACAAAGCCGUUCAUUGUAACACAGUGGCCGACAGUGGCUGAGGUGAUGGUCGGAGAGGACGUCAUUUUAAAGUGCAACAUCAUGGAGUUGUACUCUUCAUGUUCCACGGUAGCUUGGCUGAGAGUCAUUCCUGAGAAUGCAACAAUCAGCCUCACUGACAGACUUCAAAUCGAUCCUCAUUACUCUUUCAACCACUGGACAAGUAUUUGUUCUGCUGUUAUCACCAAUUCAAUGGUGCAUGACUCCGGUAUGUACUAUUGUGCAGCUGUGCAAAGCCGCUUUGCUCACAUUGGCAAUGGAUCCAGGAUUAUUGUAAAAGAACACACUGUGUUUCCUGUUGUCGAAAUUCUUACACCGCAGAUCCCAACCGGAUCUUUAGUCCCUCUUCAUUGUGUUGUGACUGGGGUCGAGGCUUCUCAGGUUCGUAUGUCCUGGGCUAUAGACGGGAGAAAAGAGAAAGGACAGAGAGUUUUGACACAUGGGAAUGAUGGUGCCACCCAGAUCACCAGGAACCAAAUCCUGAUUACUGCUGAGGAGUGGGACAGGAAGGUGGAGUGCAUGUGUGUGGUGGAGUUUGGAGGACAGCUCUAUACCAAGACUCUUCAGCGACAUGAUGCAUCAAAUGUGUGCUAUGCUGUAAAAUACAUAUAUCUGUCUCUCUGUUUAAUUUUUGGUGUCCUGCUUCUGAUAACAGUGACUGUUUAUAAACUGGGACGAAAAACUUUUGUGAUGAUGUGUCUAAGCAAAAACCUAUAGCUUCGAAGAGUUUCAGUUUAUCUAUAUUUUGCUUUGACAAAUUUUUAUUCUUCAAACUUGGUGUUUGGCAUUGCUGUUUCAUGAGUAAUUGUGAUUUUUUUAUUUCAGAUUUUUAUUGAUGUUUGCAGAACUUUUUUGAAUAGUGUGUGUUAUUUUGUGAAAUGUCAAAGUUAAUUGAAAGGAUAAAUUCAGACUUUUUUUACACAA
Ctenopharyngodon idella (grass carp) is the source of this 1071-nucleotide long non-coding RNA. RefSeq lists it as uncharacterized. Lineage: Eukaryota; Metazoa; Chordata; Actinopteri; Cypriniformes; Xenocyprididae. The record is from RefSeq and is a predicted model, not a curated record. The transcript is spliced from 4 exons.